RNAcentral lists this long non-coding RNA (2480 nucleotides) under Ananas comosus (pineapple). RNAcentral's name for it is "long non-coding RNA (ACOM_LNC007733)". Lineage: Eukaryota; Viridiplantae; Streptophyta; Magnoliopsida; Poales; Bromeliaceae. The record is from RNAcentral.
UUUGUUUCGCUAUCUUACCGAUCUUUUCUCUGAGCUCUUUCAUCCUGUGUGCCAUCUUGACCUUAAACUUCAGAUGCAUCGGAUUAGCGCGGGACAGAAAUCCACGUACCUUUUCAUCUUCCGUCCGGAUCUCGUCCAGCAGGUCGUCGGCGUCGUAGGCGGCGUCCUUCAGUUUGCGCAGCCAGUCGCGCAGAGCGUGGCUCUCCUUCCCAACGCUGCUCCGCUCCUCGGCGUCGAGAAGCACCGCCUGGAUCGCCGAGAAGUUGCUUCUGAGAUCAUCCGCGUCGUCCUUGAAGCUCCGCAGCAGCCCGAUUUCGUCCCCGAGAGCGGAGCCCAGCUUGCCCAGCACUCCUUUCACCAGAUCGAAUGCGAUCCCCUCCGCCAUCGCGCGCGCGUGCUGCUGCCUAAUUCUUCUCAAUACGAACGUCCUACUACAGAGAAGCAGAGGAUAAUGAAGGGUAUGCUCUCCACCACUGGAAGAUGAUUGCUCCAAUUAUUAUUGCGCUACUGCUCCAAUUAUUGUGCUGCACGCUACUCCCCCAAUCGUCUUUAUCCUAUUGUACAGAUUAUAAAAAUAUUAUCAGUUUCAAAUUGGAUCUUGUCGUUUCUGUGUCCAUUUUUUAAAAAUGGAGCGGCGGGAAUGGUGGGCCGCCCUUAUUAUUAUUAUUAUUAUUAUUAUUAUUAUUAUUAUUAUUAUUAUUUUCUCAUACAACUGAAGAAAACGGAAUGAAGAUGUUUGAGAUUUCUGAAAGAUGAUUAAAUGGUAUCACUUAAGAAAUUAAAAAAGCAGUCAAAAUCAGUUUUAGUUUCGAAUAAUUUUGAAUCCGAAUUUUAAAAAGGAAUAGUGAAUCUUAAUUUGAACCCAAAAAAUUUCAAUUUUCAGAUCCGAAUCUGAUUCCAAAAUUGAUAAUAAAAUUUCAAACCAAAUCCUAAUCUUUGGCUUCACAGUCCAGUCAGAUUGAAUAAUACCAGCAUAAUUUUCACCCCAAGGCAUUAUUCUAACAUGCUAUUAUACUUGAAGAAUUGAAUUGAUAUUUAUAAAUUUUGAUUGCCCAAAAAAAAGAAAAAGAAAAAAGUAUGGAGACCACUGGAGCACUGCACCACAAGUGCACCACAGUUCAAAUCGGCUUUUUAAUUAGCAUUGGUCUUCUUAAUUGCCAUUAAAAAAUUUAUUUUCUUAAUUUACACCACUUUAUACUAUCAUUUUUUUUAAAAAAAAAUUAGACCCUGCCGGCGAAAAAUAUAGAAAAUUUUAUUAUGCCUAAUUAUCUCAAAUCUAUAUAAACUAGAUUGGCUAUUGGAAUUUUUUUUCAAAACUAUCGUUGCUAUCGUAAACGAAAAUAAAAAUUUUUUUUAUUUAUCGUCCCUAGAGCAAGUGGCAGAGAGCUUGGUCAAUGGUAUCCGAGACCCAAAUUCAAAUUCCAGUUGAUUCAUAUUUCCAGCUAAGUUUAUUUCUAAAUAAAAUAAAACGACGGGGUAACGUGCGACCUAUCUCUCUCUCUCUCAAAAAAAAAAAAAAAAAGAGCUUAGCUUUCUUUUGUAUCUGUCGAUCGACAUUCUAUAUUAUAUAUUAGAGGCAAUGGUUCAUUUGUUUUUGUAUACAUCUCAUUGCUGCUCCACUCUUGAUUGUGCUUCACAUAGGUUUAAAUAAAACAAAAACAGAAAACGACCUUGUUAUUAAUAUAGGGGUCUAAUUAAGACAAAUAAAUAUAUAAAUGAAAAAAAAAAAAAAGUUGAGUGGAGCAAUUUCAUACGCCAGUAUAGUGCACGUGACUUUAUGCAUUUUAGCCCCCCCAAAAAAUUGUAUUAUUUUGUUGAAAACUUGAAAUGCGAACAGACGUAAGAGCUGCACAUUGUAAAGGAGAGUACAGACGACAUGGUGGCCGAGCUGGCUCUCCUCAUGUAAAAUGUAAUUAAAUAAAUGUGUGCCAGCCAUAGUUUAAUUGUAGUUGCUCCUGACCUGAUCGCCUACAGUUGCAAAUCCUCACUGUUACAUACUUUUGCACGCGAUACAUCAUCUCUUUUUGUUACAGAUAAAUUGCAAGUUUUAGAGGACUCGCAUGCAGCAUCUAGAAAUUUUUAUGAGCCGACCCAAACUACUUGUACAGCCAUGCAUUUGGCUGUUGCGUCCGGAUCUCGUCCAGCAGGUCGUCGGCGUCGUAGGCGGCGUCCUUCAGUUUGCGCAGCCAGUCGCGCAGAGCGUGGCUCUCCUUCCCAGCGCUGCUUCGCUCCUCGGCGUCGAGAAGCACCGCCUGGAUCGCUGAGAAGUUGCUUCGGAGGUCGUCCGCGUCGUCCUUGCAGCUCCGCAGCAGCCCGAUUUCGUCCCAGAGAGCGGAGCCCAGCUUGCCCAGCACUCCCGUCACCAAAUCGAAUGCGAUCCCCUCCGCCAUCGCGCGUGCGUGCUGCUGCCUAAUUCUUCUCAAUGCGAACGUCCUACUACAGAGAAGCAGAGGAUAAUAAGGAGAUGCUCUCCACCAGUG